UGGCUCAGUGGUAGAGUGCUUGCCUUGAAUGCAUGAGGCCCUGAGUUCGAUUCCUCAG
This 58-nucleotide transfer RNA is filed under the name Dipodomys ordii (Ord's kangaroo rat). It matches the Rfam family "tRNA", at positions 8 to 63 of the family's 71-position model. From Rfam's summary of the family: Transfer RNA (tRNA) molecules are approximately 80 nucleotides in length. Their secondary structure includes four short double-helical elements and three loops (D, anti-codon, and T loops). Further hydrogen bonds mediate the characteristic L-shaped molecular structure. tRNAs have two regions of fundamental functional importance: the anti-codon, which is responsible for specific mRNA codon recognition, and the 3' end, to which the tRNAs corresponding amino acid is attached (by aminoacyl-tRNA synthetases). tRNAs cope with the degeneracy of the genetic code in two manners: having more than one tRNA (with a specific anti-codon) for a particular amino acid; and 'wobble' base-pairing, i.e. permitting non-standard base-pairing at the 3rd anti-codon position. Lineage: Eukaryota; Metazoa; Chordata; Mammalia; Rodentia; Heteromyidae. The record is from Rfam by way of RNAcentral.